RNAcentral lists this ribosomal RNA (685 nucleotides) under uncultured Glomeromycotina. Its description in RNAcentral is "eukaryotic LSU rRNA". It matches the Rfam family "Eukaryotic large subunit ribosomal RNA", at positions 91 to 618 of the family's 3401-position model. The record is from RNAcentral. Lineage: Eukaryota; Fungi; Glomeromycota.
GAGCGAAGAGGGAUAAGCUCAAAUUUUAAAUCUAUUGGGUACCUACCUAAUAGAGUUGUAUUUUGAAGAAACGUUUUCUGGUCCUGGAUUAACCCAAAUCCUUCGGAAUAAGGUAUCAUGGAGGGUGAGAAUCCCGUUCAUGGUUAAUCUCAAGGAUGCUUUACGAUACGUCUUCCAAGAGUCGAGUUGUUUGGGAUUGCAGCUCAAAAUGGGAGGUAAAUCUCUCCUAAAGCUAAAUAUUGGCGAGAGACCGAUAGCAAACAAGUACCGUGAGGGAAAGAUGAAAAGAACUUUGAAAAGAGAGUUAAAUAGUACGUGAAAUUGUUGGAAAGGAAACGAUUAAAGUCAGUCAUACCAACGGGAAACCAACCUUUUGAGCUUGGUCUCGUGGGUUUUGAAGAGUUUCAAAGCCUUCGGAUUCGCGGGAUUGGGAUCUCUUGGCGUACUUUUUCGUACGGUUAGUCAACAUCGGUUUUGAAUGUCAUAAAAUGACUGGAGGAAUGUAGCUUCGAUCUCGUAUUGAAGUGUUAUAGCCUUUGGCAGAUGUGAUGUUUGAGACCGAGGAUUGCAACGGAUACCCUUCAGGGCUAUUCGUCUGAUCUCUGAUACGUUGCCUUGAUGUUGAAAGCUUGCUUAUGAUGUUAGGGUAUUACGGUCAAAAGGUUAGAACGAACUACAUUCGUUA